This 254-nucleotide ribosomal RNA is filed under the name uncultured bacterium. Its description in RNAcentral is "partial 16S ribosomal RNA". It matches the Rfam family "Bacterial small subunit ribosomal RNA", at positions 524 to 776 of the family's 1533-position model. The record is from RNAcentral.
UACGUAGGGUGCAAGCGUUAAUCGGAAUUACUGGGCGUAAAGCGUGCGCAGGCGGUUAUGCAAGACAGAUGUGAAAUCCCCGGGCUCAACCUGGGAACUGCAUUUGUGACUGCAUGGCUAGAGUACGGUAGAGGGGGAUGGAAUUCCGCGUGUAGCAGUGAAAUGCGUAGAUAUGCGGAGGAACACCGAUGGCGAAGGCAAUCCCCUGGACCUGUACUGACGCUCAUGCACGAAAGCGUGGGGGAGCAAACAGG